GGCGACGUAGCCAAGUGGUAAGGCAAGGGUCUGCAAAACCCUCAUGCGUGGGUUCAAAUCCCACCGUCGCCU
This 72-nucleotide transfer RNA is filed under the name Chloroflexota bacterium. RNAcentral describes it as "Chloroflexi bacterium (sediment metagenome) tRNA-Cys". It matches the Rfam family "tRNA". Rfam says of the family: Transfer RNA (tRNA) molecules are approximately 80 nucleotides in length. Their secondary structure includes four short double-helical elements and three loops (D, anti-codon, and T loops). Further hydrogen bonds mediate the characteristic L-shaped molecular structure. tRNAs have two regions of fundamental functional importance: the anti-codon, which is responsible for specific mRNA codon recognition, and the 3' end, to which the tRNAs corresponding amino acid is attached (by aminoacyl-tRNA synthetases). tRNAs cope with the degeneracy of the genetic code in two manners: having more than one tRNA (with a specific anti-codon) for a particular amino acid; and 'wobble' base-pairing, i.e. permitting non-standard base-pairing at the 3rd anti-codon position. The record is from RNAcentral. Lineage: Bacteria; Bacillati; Chloroflexota.